GAUGAACGCUGGCGGCGUGCUUAACACAUGCAAGUCGAACGAUGAAGCCCAGCUUGCUGGGUGGAUUAGUUGCGAACGGGUGAGUAACACGUGAGUAACCUGCCCUUCACUCUGGGAUAAGCCUGGUAAACUGGGUCUAAUACCGGAUAGGAGCGUCCACCGCAUGGUGGGUGUUGGAAAGCUUUAUCGGUUUUGGAUGGACUCGCGGCCUAUCAGCUUGUUGGUGAGGUAAUGGCUCACCAAGGCGACGACGGGUAGCCGGCCUGAGAGGGUGACCGGCCACACUGGGACUGAGACACGGCCCAGACUCCUACGGGAGGCAGCAGUGGGGAAUAUUGCACAAUGGGCGCAAGCCUGAUGCAGCGACGCCGCGUGAGGGAUGACGGCCUUCGGGUUGUAAACCUCUUUCAGUAGGGAAGAAGCGAAAGUGACGGUACCUGCAGAAGAAGCACCGGCUAACUACGUG
RNAcentral lists this ribosomal RNA (466 nucleotides) under uncultured bacterium. RNAcentral describes it as "partial 16S ribosomal RNA". It matches the Rfam family "Bacterial small subunit ribosomal RNA", at positions 28 to 507 of the family's 1533-position model. The record is from RNAcentral.